RNAcentral lists this ribosomal RNA (402 nucleotides) under uncultured bacterium. Its description in RNAcentral is "bacterial SSU rRNA". It matches the Rfam family "Bacterial small subunit ribosomal RNA", at positions 356 to 773 of the family's 1533-position model. The record is from RNAcentral.
GGGGAAUAUUGCACAAUGGGGGAAACCCUGAUGCAGCAACGCCGCGUGAAGGAUGAAGGUUUUCGGAUUGUAAACUUCUUUAGUCAGGGACGAAAAAAUGACGGUAGCUGAAGAAUAAUCCACGGCUCACUACGUGCCAGCAGCCGCGGUGAUACGUAGGUGGCAAGCGUUGUCCGGAAUUACUGGGUGUAAAGGGCGUGUAGGCGGGAAUGUAAGUCAGAUGUGAAAUCCCAGGGCUUAACCCUGGAGCUGCAUCUGAAACUAUGUUUCUUGAGUGCCGGAGAGGAAAGUGGAAUUCCUAGUGUAGCGGUGAAAUGCGUAGAUAUUAGGAGGAACACCAGUGGCGAAGGCGGCUUUCUGGACGGUAACUGACGCUGAGGCGCGAAAGCGUGGGGAGCAAAC